This 253-nucleotide ribosomal RNA is filed under the name uncultured bacterium. Its description in RNAcentral is "partial 16S ribosomal RNA". It matches the Rfam family "Bacterial small subunit ribosomal RNA", at positions 524 to 776 of the family's 1533-position model. The record is from RNAcentral.
UACAGAGGUCUCAAGCGUUGUUCGGAUUCAUUGGGCGUAAAGGGUGCGUAGGCGGCGCGGUAAGUCGGGUGUGAAAUCUCGGAGCUUAACUCCGAAACUGCAUUCGAUACUGCCGUGCUUGAGGACUGGAGAGGAGACUGGAAUUUACGGUGUAGCGGUGAAAUGCGUAGAUAUCGUAAGGAAGACCAGUGGCGAAGGCGGGUCUCUGGACCGAUAUUGACGCUGAGGAGCGAAAGCCAGGGGAGCAAACGGG